Unclassified non-coding RNA from Pongo abelii (Sumatran orangutan), 117 nucleotides. It matches the Rfam family "Metazoan signal recognition particle RNA". Rfam says of the family: The signal recognition particle (SRP) is a universally conserved ribonucleoprotein. The record is from Ensembl. Lineage: Eukaryota; Metazoa; Chordata; Mammalia; Primates; Hominidae.
GCCGGGCGCGGUGGCUCGCGCCUGUAAUCCCAGCACUUUGGGAGGCCGAGGCGGGCGGAUCACUUGAGGUCAGGAGUUCGAGACCAGCCUGGCCAACAUGGUGAAACCCCGUCUCUA